GGCAAAGUUGGUAAUCAACAGGAUCCAUUUUUGUUGUGUUUUCAAUAGAAAUUUUCAAAUCAUUUUAUGGAAACAAAGCCCUAGUUUUAACUGAAUACCUUAAUUUUUCCUGGAGAUUUAGUCCUCCAUGAACCAUCCAAACUCAAUCCAACCAGCUAGUUGGGGUUUUAGCUGCAUGGAAACUUCAUCUCUGCGAAACAUCUGUUUUUAGCUCGAUGUUUCUUCAAAUGGGGAAGGAAUUUUAUAUAUUGAUAAGCAUUAUCAACUAUAGUGCUGCAGGAUCAGUUAGAGAUAUGCUAGCAAAUUUUUAUUUUGAGAAAUAU
RNAcentral lists this unclassified non-coding RNA (323 nucleotides) under Hevea brasiliensis (rubber tree). The record is from RNAcentral. Lineage: Eukaryota; Viridiplantae; Streptophyta; Magnoliopsida; Malpighiales; Euphorbiaceae.